This is a non-coding RNA of Camellia sinensis, 5660 nucleotides long. The record is from RefSeq and is a predicted model, not a curated record. Lineage: Eukaryota; Viridiplantae; Streptophyta; Magnoliopsida; Ericales; Theaceae.
AGCCUCUCCUUCAAUUCCAUCGAAGAAACAUGCUCGACAUUCCACUUCCACCACCGUCGUCUCCAUGCCUCCAAGCCCUAGUCUGCAAUGCUUCAAAAAUAACAAAUGCAAGGCCUCGUUCAGCAAAGAUUUCAACCUAAGAAAGGUACUAUCUGGCCGAACUAUUGAUGUUAAUUUCUUCAAAGGACAAAGCCUUCCUAUUAAACAAUGUUUUGAUAACAAAAAAUAGUCCUCUCUGUUAAAACUUGACUGUGAUGGUCAUCCUACUCUCAUUAAGAAAUUCUUUGCAAAUCUAUCCUAUAAUGAGGAAUCUUCUCCUAGCACCUUGGAGUGCUUUGUAAGGGGUGAUUCCUUCACUCUUAAACCCUCCAUUAUUAACUCCAUUUUGAGAACUUCUAAUGAUGGUCAUCGUGUGUCUAUCCCUAGGCAGAAAUCCUCCUAACUACACUCAUCAUAUAGGUCUUCAAUUUCUGACCAAUAACCCAGCCUUAGAUAAACACAUUACCAUUUCUGGCAAUGACCUAACUCUUGAGUUGAGACUGUUGUAUCACAUCAUAAACCACAACAUCCUUCCCCGAUGAGGUCGAUUUGAUACAGUCACCUAUGGCCACACUUAUCUUCUUUGGGCCCCUUUCCACUGGAUACCUUACAGAUUUUGGGAAUUUGGUUUGUCAAGUCAUGAUUGAUGCUCACAAAAGAGACAACCAAGCCCUACCCUAUGGAAUAAUCUUCACCAAGAUCUUUAAACAUUUCAAAAUUAACCUCAAAGGUGAAGACAAUAUCCCUAGAGACUCUGCUGUUUAUGGCUCAGAAACUCUUAGGCACAUAGGUUAUUCUUUGAUUGACAAUGUUUGGACCAAAGCUAAAAAACCUGUCACUGCUCCACCUACUCUUGUUCCAUCUUUCUCCGCUGAUCCUAACCUUCCAAGUUCUUCAUCUAUGCCUCUCUCCACCCCUGGUCCUUUCUCUUCUGUUGCACCUCAUGAUCUUUCCUCUCUUUCUAUAAAAAUUGAUCAUCUAGUCUCCUUGGUUCAAGGACCACUUAUGGUAGGGAUUGCUGAACUGAACUCCAAGCUUAAUAACCUUAAUCUUAAUGCCCAAUCUACAACAGUGUCGGUUAUGCCAUCAUCUUCUCAGUCUACCUAUAUUCCACCUUAAUCUGAUCUGGCACAAAAGAUUGAUCAAUUGGCUUCUAUGGUUCAACAAAUUCUCUCUCGCCAAGUGGACAUGCAACAAGAAAUUGAUAAUAUGAGGGUACAACAAUCUCAGGCAAUUGAAGCUGCCAAGGCAAGUGUUGAGAACAUGGUGAUAGUUGUUUUUGGCCUCAAGCAUUCCAACGAAGAAUUUUGUCAAAUUUUUCAACAGCGAUGGGAUGACGAUCUUGGCGAACAAAUUCAUAAAUUCGUGCUUUGGUUCGCGCAAGGUUGGCUUGAAGCAGCUCCGCAUUGGCCCCAUGAGCCUCCUCCGUUUCGCUAGUCUUUUUUUUUUCUCUUUACCCCUCUUUUUGUUGAUGACAAAGGGGGAGAAGAAUUAUAGUUUUAGCUUUAAUGUGUAUGAACUUGGAUGUUGGAUAGAUAGUUUCUUUUUAUCUUUUUGCACAUGUAUACGAACUUAUAUCCUUUUGCACAUGGUAGAACAAACAAUUUGUGGUACAAUUUUUGGUUUGUUUUGAUAUAGUCAUGAAUGGAUAUGAAAGAUGUGUUAUAGAUUCAUUUUACACUACCAGCAACACACACAGUGAUUGAAAGUGCACACACAUUGAUUGAUAUACUUUAUUUGUGCUUGAGUGAGGCUAUUGUUUUGAUGGAAAAAUAGCUUGUCAUUUCAUUCAAUGGAAUUGAGUCGAGAUUAGCUCUUAUUUGCAAAAGAUCUAGUGCAUAUUGACAGGGGGAGCUUGUCAUAUAUUGUAAUUAGCAAGUUGUUCCAUUUGUGCAAAAAUCUUCUUGGCUUAUAUUGGGAGAUUUCUCAUUGAGUUUUAAAAUAAAAUUGAUUUGGCCUUGAAGCCCUUUUCAUCGGGGAAGUUUUUCGAUCUUGUUUUUUAAUCCAUUAUUUACAAAACUCCUUGAAAAAUAUUUCUUAAACCUUUGUCUUAAAACUCAUGAUUUGAAAACUUCGCACAUAUUUGUCAUCAUAAAAAAGGGGGAGAUUGUUAGCCCCAAGGUUAUUCACAUUUCAAUUUUAUUGAUUUUGAUUAUUGACAAAUGUCUUGAGCUUAUUUAAUUAUUCAAAGUUUUCAAAGUAUACCCAUGUCUUUGCACUUCAAUGAUUCUAAAGAAUGUAUGCUUCUAAAUUAUUAUAUUCUCAUAAAUAAUGGCACCUCAAAUUAAUAGAAUUAGUCCAAGUUUGCACAAUGUUAUUCUUGCUUAAAACAAGUCAAAGGGUUGACACCAAGAUAUGACACGGUCGACAUCAAAAGACAGUGAAGAAAGCUUAGGUUGUUCAGCAGCAAAGGGUCGACACCAAAACAUGACAAGGUGGACACAAUAAUAAAAAAUAAUAAUAAUCUUGGUUAGUCAAUAAGUAAUUUAAUUUAAUUUUCAGAAUAUGUUAUUCUUAACAAACUAAAAUUCCAUGGCUUACCAUACUCCAGGAGAUAUCUACCUAAUCCAAACAAGUCUUAAUGCCUUGUGUUUUUGAACAAUUAAAAUGAAUUUUCUCGCCCAAAACAUAUCCCCACACAAAGAAAACCUUUCUUACCUGAACAAAAAGAAGUCAAAUCCAGCAGGAAACGCAGAAGACAAAACAUGAUCACCACACAACCCUUCAAAAAAAAAUUAAUAAAAAAGUAAAUUAAAAAAGAAAAGAAGGAAAAUCGUUAACAAAUAUAAAUUAAAAAUAAAUAAAAAACGAAAACAAAACGUUUGUUAAUAACAAAAACAAACAAACAAACAAAUUUGUGUACAGUACAUAAAAAAUAGAAGAAAAAGAAUCCUAAUUUUGUUGGACGGGCCUCAUAGAACUUCCAUACAUGAUUAAUUUUGUCGAUUCGAUUUUGAAGAUGAGAUGAAGUUGUAAGCGAAAACCCCUUUUUUACGCAACAAAAUAUAAAUAAAAUAAAUAAAUUAUGUACUGUACCCGAAGAGAAGAAGAAACCCUAAUUUUGUUGGGCGGAUUCGCAUAGAAAUUCCAAAUUGUAAUCCAAAAUGGAAAUCAAGUUGAACAAAUCUUUGGUAGUAUUUCGGGAUCAUUAACUCAUCACCAUCAAGAUCUCAAACCAUAGUCCAGAUCUUGGACAUCUCUCUGGACGAGGAGAGACUGAGAGAUACACAGACUCAGAGAUGGAGAAUUUGCAGUAGGGAGAGAAUGAGAUACACAUGCAUAGACUGAAGUGAAGUGAAGACAAAUUUUAUGGUGUAAAAGGAUGGUGAUUACAAAUGAUUCUUGUGAAUUGGAUUGUUGGUUAAGGAGCUAGGGUUAUUGAUCUGAUUUGUUUGGGAAGAGGCUGCAUCUGGUGGAAGCUGAGAAAGGAGGAAUGCUUGACUUAUGUGGGAUGUUAAUUGCAAGGGAUGUGGGUUGGUAUUUUGCUAGCGGCCAUGUGGAUUAGUUGGGGCUUUUUUGGCUGUUAUCCUGGUUGAUUGUUAGUUUAUCCUUUGUUUCAUUUUUGGCUUUUUUUUGUUUUGCGUAUUGUACUUGUCUUGUUGGUUGGUGACACCAAUUUUGGGUCAUGCUAGCAAAUGAUUGGGCAAGCUAUUUCGGUGUCAACCUAGUUGGGAUUGUUUAGUUUUGUUGUGAUGCUCUUUUGCACUUACCCUCCCUUUAUUGAUGAUAAUUAUUUGUAUUGUUCCUUGAUUAUUAUUAUUAAAGUUUAUUUUUGCUGAUAAAAAAAAAAAAUGUAUAUUGCAUUUAUGAUGUUUUUAAUUUUAGUAGUUUCAUAGUCCGAGAGUUUUUAUCGACGGAUAUUACAGGAUUGAAGUCGGAAAUGAGGAUGAGAUGUAAAGAAUUCUCCAGUAUCACCCGAUCACUGUUUAUAUAGCCUGCCAUGAGUCUUUCAAUUGUUGUAAAGGGGUAUAAACUACUAAGUACGAAAAUGUUUUAUUGGAAUAAUUUUGAAAUGAUUUGUAAUUAAAUGUUAUUGUAAUUUAUUUUUAUAUGUAGGAUGUGUACAAGUCACCCCGUUUUUUACACGGACUUGAUAUGAUGAAACUAAGUGAUGAAUUAGAUCUUGUCAGCCAUACACUGGUGGAAUGUCAUGUGAUUUGUUUUGUAGGCAAGGGGACUUACAAUGGAGAACCCGCCUAGUGAUAAAAAAUUCUUGGGGGAAGAAGUGGGGCAUAGGGGGCUCUGUAUACAUGCCACGCAACGGAAGCGACGCCGGAGUCUUAGGGAUAAAUUGCUUUCCAUCUUUUCCAGUUAUCGGUGAUCACAAAAGAUAUGAGAAGCCUCGCCUCUAUAAGUAUCAAAGGGCUACAUACAAUGAUGGGAUUAAUGGUUAUAUAGUCCGUUGUGCUGUAGAUCGUUGCCCCCCCAAUUUUCCGAUCACUAGUUUUUGGAAUGGAAGAUAUUAUGGACAAUCAAGUCAUACUUCCAGAUGCUCACAAACAUAUCACUCGACCACCUGCUGGGGUUAUAUUCCCGAAGAAGUUUUUAUCUUGUCAUGUUCUCUGCUUGUCAUUAACGUUCCUCUUGUUAGUAGUUUAUUUAUUAUUUUUAUUUCUGCAUUCUAUUUCAUUAUAUAAGGCAUCUACUUGUACAGAUGUGCAUCUUUGCUUUUGUGAUAGACCCUUGUGCGUGUCUGCUUAUUUCAUGGUCAAGCAAGGUAAUGGAAAUCAAAAGGAUAAUAACAAAUAAUAAAGGAGAUGCAUUCAACCAAGGUUUAGAGGGAGCACAAAGACUCACAAUGUUUCAAUAUUAGAGCCCAUAUGAGAACGGUUUUUUGCAUGUUUUUUCAAUUUGUUUGAUGUGAAUAGAGUUCUCUGGCUUUAGAUUAAUUAGAUAUGGUUCAUUAUGUUAUUAUUAAAAUCUUGGUUUGGUUGAGGUUCUUUAAAGCAAUUCCUUGCGUUAAGUCAAUAAAUCUUGGUUACUUGAUCAAGCAUGGCAGAGCACUGUAGUUGGACAUAUUUUAUUUCAAAAAUGUUUAAGAGCUGUAAUCUAGGAGCUCAAAGGGAGCUCUAACUAGUGGGUCCCACCUGAUGUGAUGUUUUGGCCUUCCCCCCCCCCCUCUCUUUCACUGCCUGCUCAUUGGAGCUGGCUUUAGAGCUGCUGAUUUAGAGCUCUGAAUCAUAACUGAUUUUAUUUACACAUGCUGGAGACUUAGAUAGUAAUUAGCUUUCCAUGUAUUUUACAUCAUGGUGUUGUGUGUUGAUGGAUUUGAAAUAAAGGGAUUUGGGUUUCAUUUCAUACUUAAAAUAGUCGAGAGAAUUGGUAUUGAAGUGCGCUUCCAUUUGAAGCGUUAAGGUAAAGGUAUGAGAUUCAUCCUACUAGAAUAGUUGUGCCACUAGAAUUUCGGAGGUUUAGGUCAAAAUUCAUGUUUUUUUUUUUUCUUCUUCAAAAUCAUUCAUAAAGUUCUUAUAAAUCCAUUCGUGGAAAAUUUAAUCCGUGCUAUAUUGCUUGAAGUUCUUUUUGUUGGAAAGUGGAAAAAUAAGAGGAAUGGAAGAAGGUAGGAGCAGAAGGAUAUCAAAGUUCACCUUUUUUCUUCCAAAAUUACUGAGAUAAGGUUCUCA